AACGUAGGUCACAAGCGUUGUCCGGAAUUACUGGGUGUAAAGGGAGCGCAGGCGGGAAGACAAGUUGGAAGUGAAAUCCGUGGGCUCAACCCAUGAACUGCUUUCAAAACUGUUUUUCUUGAGUAGUGCAGAGGUAGGCGGAAUUCCCGGUGUAGCGGUGGAAUGCGUAGAUAUCGGGAGGAACACCAGUGGCGAAGGCGGCCUACUGGGCACCAACUGACGCUGAGGCUCGAAAGUGUGGGUAGCAAACAGG
This 253-nucleotide ribosomal RNA is filed under the name Faecalibacterium prausnitzii. Its description in RNAcentral is "partial 16S ribosomal RNA". It matches the Rfam family "Bacterial small subunit ribosomal RNA", at positions 524 to 776 of the family's 1533-position model. Lineage: Bacteria; Bacillati; Bacillota; Clostridia; Eubacteriales; Oscillospiraceae. The record is from RNAcentral.